This 253-nucleotide ribosomal RNA is filed under the name uncultured bacterium. RNAcentral's name for it is "partial 16S ribosomal RNA". It matches the Rfam family "Bacterial small subunit ribosomal RNA", at positions 524 to 776 of the family's 1533-position model. The record is from RNAcentral.
UACAGAGGGUGCAAGCGUUAAUCGGAAUUACUGGGCGUAAAGCGCGCGUAGGUGGUUCAGUAAGUUGGAAGUGAAAUCCCCGGGCUCAACCUGGGAACUGCUUUCAAAACUGCUGAGCUAGAGUACGGUAGAGGGUGGUGGAAUUUCCUGUGUAGCGGUGAAAUGCGUAGAUAUAGGACGGAACACCAGUGGCGAAGGCGACCACCUGGACUGAUACUGACACUGAGGUGCGAAAGCGUGGGGAGCAAACAGG